AUUGAACGCUGGCGGCAUGCCUUACACAUGCAAGUCGAACGGCAGCACGGGUGCUUGCACCUGGUGGCGAGUGGCGAACGGGUGAGUAAUACAUCGGAACGUACCUUAUCGUGGGGAUAACGCAGCGAAAGUUGCGCUAAUACCGCAUACGCCCUGAGGGGGAAAGCGGGGGACCGUAAGGCCUCGCGCGAUUAGAGCGGCCGAUGUCUGAUUAGCUUGUUGGUGAGGUAAAAGCUCACCAAGGCGAUGAUCAGUAGCUGGUCUGAGAGGACGAUCGGCCAAACUGGGACUGAGACACGGCCCAGACUCCUACGGGAGGCAGCAGUGGGGAAUUUUGGACAAUGGGGGCAACCCUGAUCCAGCAAUGCCGCGUGAGUGAAGAAGGCCUUCGGGUUGUAAAGCUCUUUUGUCAGGGAAGAAACAGCAGCUCUAACACAGUCUGCGAAUGACGGUACCUGAAGAAUAAGCACCGGCUAACUACGUGCCAGCCGCCGCGGUAA
This 500-nucleotide ribosomal RNA is filed under the name uncultured bacterium. RNAcentral describes it as "partial 16S ribosomal RNA". It matches the Rfam family "Bacterial small subunit ribosomal RNA", at positions 30 to 523 of the family's 1533-position model. The record is from RNAcentral.